CCUACGGGGCGCAGCAGUGAGGAAUAUUGGUCAAUGGUCGGGAGACUGAACCAGCCAAGCCGCGUGAGGGAUGAAGGUACAGAGUAUCGUAAACCUCUUUUGUCAGGGAACAAAGGCGGGGACGUGUCCCCGGAUGAGUGUACCUGAAGAAAAAGCAUCGGCUAACUCCGUGCCAGCAGCCGCGGUAAUACGGAGGAUGCGAGCGUUAUCCGGAUUUAUUGGGUUUAAAGGGUGCGCAGGCGGUCUGUUAAGUCAGUGGUCAAAGCCCGGGGCUCAACCGGUACAGGCUCUGGAAACUGGCGGGG
This 305-nucleotide ribosomal RNA is filed under the name uncultured bacterium. Its description in RNAcentral is "bacterial SSU rRNA". It matches the Rfam family "Bacterial small subunit ribosomal RNA", at positions 338 to 641 of the family's 1533-position model. The record is from RNAcentral.